UCUCUCAUCACUUAGCCAGGCUUGCAAUUAGCCUAAGGUCCAGCUUAAUGUAAAAGUUAAAGGUCUUCUCCAGUCUUUUCUGAGCAUCCAUCUUACCCUGGGAAAACUUUCAAAAUUGACUUCUAACUUUCCAUGCAUGCAACUUCCUAAUUUCUCAAAGACCUUCUCCCCAGCUUUUUCUUCUGGAAGACUUCAGGUCCCACAGAUGUGCUUUUCAUCUCUACACUGUUAUCAUUCUUGUAAUAAAUACUGCCAAAGGUCAUGAUCUCAAGAUUGUGGGAUUGAGC
Molecule: long non-coding RNA, 287 nt
Organism: Lutra lutra (Eurasian river otter)
Lineage: Eukaryota; Metazoa; Chordata; Mammalia; Carnivora; Mustelidae
Exons: 3
Source: RefSeq, a predicted model, not a curated record